CCUACGGGGGGCAGCAGUGAGGAAUCUUGGUCAAUGGCCGCAGGGCUGAACCAGCCAAGUUGCGUGAGGGAUGACGGUCCUAUGGAUUGUAAACCUCUUUUGUCAGGGAGCAAAGGGCGCCACGUGUGGCGCUUUGCGAGUACCUGAAGAAAAAGCAUCGGCUAACUCCGUGCCAGCAGCCGAUGUAAUACGGAGGAUGCGAGCGUUAUCCGGAUUUAUUGGGUUCAAAGGGUGCGCAGGCGGAAUGUCAAGUCAGCGGUAAAAUUUCGGGGCUCAACCCCGUCGUGCCGUUGAAACUGGCGUUCUUGAGUGAGCGAGAAGUAUGCGGAAUGCGUGGUGUAGCGGUGAAAUGCAUAGAUAUCACGCAGAACUCCGAUUGCGAAGGCAGCAUACCGGCGCUCAACUGACGCUCAUGCACGAAAGCGUGGGUAUCGAACAGGAUUAGAUACCCCGGUAGUC
RNAcentral lists this ribosomal RNA (459 nucleotides) under uncultured bacterium. Its description in RNAcentral is "partial 16S ribosomal RNA". It matches the Rfam family "Bacterial small subunit ribosomal RNA", at positions 338 to 795 of the family's 1533-position model. The record is from RNAcentral.